Molecule: ribosomal RNA, 1462 nt
Filed under: Staphylococcus pseudintermedius
Lineage: Bacteria; Bacillati; Bacillota; Bacilli; Caryophanales; Staphylococcaceae
Description: partial 23S ribosomal RNA
Rfam family: Bacterial large subunit ribosomal RNA
Source: RNAcentral
CCUGAGUACGACGGAGCACGUGAAAUUCCGUCGGAAUCUGGGAGGACCAUCUCCUAAGGCUAAAUACUCUCUAGUGACCGAUAGUGAACCAGUACCGUGAGGGAAAGGUGAAAAGUACCCCGGAAGGGGAGUGAAAGAGAACUUGAAACCGUGUGCUUACAAGUAGUCAGAGCCCGUUAAUGGGUGAUGGCGUGCCUUUUGUAGAAUGAACCGGCGAGUUACGAUCUGAUGCAAGGUUAAGCAGAAAAUGUGGAGCCGUAGCGAAAGCGAGUCUGAAUAGGGCGAAUGAGUAUUUGGUCGUAGACCCGAAACCAGGUGAUCUACCCUUGGUCAGGUUGAAGUUCAGGUAACACUGAAUGGAGGACCGAACCGACUUACGUUGAAAAGUGAGCGGAUGAACUGAGGGUAGCGGAGAAAUUCCAAUCGAACUUGGAGAUAGCUGGUUCUCUCCGAAAUAGCUUUAGGGCUAGCCUCAAGUGAUGAUUAUUGGAGGUAGAGCACUGUUUGGACGAGGGGCCCCUCUCGGGUUACCGAAUUCAGACAAACUCCGAAUGCCAAAUAAUUUAACUUGGGAGUCAGAAUGUGGGUGAUAAGGUCCAUAUUCGAAAGGGAAACAGCCCAGACCACCAGCUAAGGUCCCAAAAUAUAUGUUAAGUGGAAAAGGAUGUGGCGUUGCCCAGACAACUAGGAUGUUGGCUUAGAAGCAGCCAUCAUUUAAAGAGUGCGUAAUAGCUCACUAGUCGAGUGACACUGCGCCGAAAAUGUACCGGGGCUAAACAUAUUACCGAAGCUGUGGAUUGUCCUUUGGACAAUGGUAGGAGAGCGUUCUAAGGGCGUUGAAGCAUGAUCGCAAGGACAUGUGGAGCGCUUAGAAGUGAGAAUGCCGGUGUGAGUAGCGAAAGACGGGUGAGAAUCCCGUCCACCGAUUGACUAAGGUUUCCAGAGGAAGGCUCGUCCGCUCUGGGUUAGUCGGGUCCUAAGCUGAGGCCGACAGGCGUAGGCGAUGGAUAACAGGUUGAUAUUCCUGUACCACCAUUAUUCGUUUUAAGCGAUGGGGGGACGCAGUAGGAUAGGCGAAGCGUGCUGUUGGAGUGCACGUCCAAGCAGUGAGAUUGAGUGUUAGGCAAAUCCGGCACUCUUAAGAUUGAGCUGUGAUGGGGAGAGGAACUUGUUCCUCGAGUCGUUGAUUUCACACUGCCGAGAAAAGCCUCUAGCUAGAAUAACGGUGCCCGUACCGCAAACCGACACAGGUAGUCAAGAUGAGAAUUCUAAGGUGAGCGAGCGAACUCUCGUUAAGGAACUCGGCAAAAUGACCCCGUAACUUCGGGAGAAGGGGUGCUCUUUGAGGUUCACGCUUCGAAGAGCCGCAGUGAAUAGGCCCAAGCGACUGUUUAUCAAAAACACAGGUCUCUGCUAAACCGUAAGGUGACGUAUAGGGGCUGACGCCUGCCCGGUGCUGGAA